UACAGGGGGUGCAAGCGUUGCUCGGAAUCACUGGGCGUAAAGCGUACGCAGGCGGUCCGUUAAGUCGGGUGUGAAAUCCCGGGGCUCAACCCCGGAAUUGCAUUCGAAACUGGCGGACUUGAAUACGGGAGAGGUGAGUGGAAUUCCUGGUGUAGAGGUGAAAUUCGUAGAUAUCAGGAGGAACACCGGUGGCGAAAGCGGCUCACUGGCCCGAUAUUGACGCUCAUGUACGAAAGCGUGGGGAGCAAACAGG
Molecule: ribosomal RNA, 253 nt
Filed under: uncultured bacterium
Lineage: Bacteria
Description: partial 16S ribosomal RNA
Rfam family: Bacterial small subunit ribosomal RNA
Source: RNAcentral